This 59-nucleotide microRNA precursor is filed under the name Pristionchus pacificus. Its description in RNAcentral is "microRNA ppc-mir-8258 precursor". The record is from miRBase by way of RNAcentral. Lineage: Eukaryota; Metazoa; Nematoda; Chromadorea; Rhabditida; Neodiplogasteridae.
ACGCUCAUUCAAGACCAUGACACGGCAAUAAACGAUGUCAUGAUCUUGAUCGGGUGCCA